GUGGUUUCAUUUUCCAACGGUCUUCAGAACAAACAAUAUUUGGUAAAUUAGUCAAGGAUUGCUCUUUCACAUUCAGUAAAAUAGCAGGUACAAUUAUAUCCCUCAUCAGUAGAGUAAACAGAAGUACAAUUAUAAGUUUUCUGCUGCAGAUAAUACACCCUAACUUCAAUUAAGAGCUAAAUUAAUUAACCCACGUCGGGGAAUGAUAUGAACAAGAGUAUUAACAUUGAGUACGUUCAAUUACAGUUAAGAAAUGUCCUUCAGACAUUAAACACGAAGAGAAUUCAAGAACAGAGAACAAAAAAGGGGCUUGAGAUAAACGAAAGAUAGAAGAAGGUAAUAUUCAAAGUAUAGUUGA
This 358-nucleotide long non-coding RNA is filed under the name Cucumis sativus (cucumber). Its description in RNAcentral is "long non-coding RNA (CSAT_LNC002219)". Lineage: Eukaryota; Viridiplantae; Streptophyta; Magnoliopsida; Cucurbitales; Cucurbitaceae. The record is from RNAcentral.